UACAGGGGGUGCUAGCGUUGUUCGGAAUUACUGGGCGUAAAGGGCGCGUAGGCGGUCUUGUAAGUCAGAUGUGAAAUCCCGGGGCUUAACUCCGGACGUGCAUUUGAAACUGCGAGACUUGAGUGCAGUAGAGGAUGGUAGAAUUCCCAGUGUAGAGGUGAAAUUCGUAGAUAUUGGGAGGAAUACCGGUGGCGAAGGCGGCCAUCUGGGCUGCAACUGACGCUGAGGCGCAAAAGCGUGGGGAUCAAACAGG
Molecule: ribosomal RNA, 253 nt
Filed under: uncultured bacterium
Lineage: Bacteria
Description: partial 16S ribosomal RNA
Rfam family: Bacterial small subunit ribosomal RNA
Source: RNAcentral